GACGAACGCUGGCGGCGUGCCUAAUACAUGCAAGUAGAACGCUGAAGGAGGAGCUUGCUUCUCUGGAUGAGUUGCGAACGGGUGAGUAACGCGUAGGUAACCUGCCUGGUAGCGGGGGAUAACUAUUGGAAACGAUAGCUAAUACCGCAUAAGAGUAGAUGUCGCAUGACAUUUGCUUAAAAGGUGCAAUUGCAUCGCUACCAGAUGGACCUGCGUUGUAUUAGCUAGUUGGUGAGGUAACGGCUCACCAAGGCAACGAUACAUAGCCGACCUGAGAGGGUGAUCGGCCACACUGGGACUGAGACACGGCCCAGACUCCUACGGGAGGCAGCAGUAGGGAAUCUUCGGCAAUGGACGGAAGUCUGACCGAGCAACGCCGCGUGAGUGAAGAAGGUUUUCGGAUCGUAAAGCUCUGUUGUAAGAGAAGAACGAGUGUGAGAGUGGAAAGUUCACACUGUGACGGUAUCUUACCAGAAAGGGACGGCUAACUACGUG
Molecule: ribosomal RNA, 495 nt
Filed under: uncultured bacterium
Lineage: Bacteria
Description: partial 16S ribosomal RNA
Rfam family: Bacterial small subunit ribosomal RNA
Source: RNAcentral